GAUGAACGCUGGCGGCGUGCCUAAUACAUGCAAGUCGAGCGAACGGACGAGAAGCUUGCUUCUCUGAUGUUAGCGGCGGACGGGUGAGUAACACGUGGAUAACCUACCUAUAAGACUGGGAUAACUUCGGGAAACCGGAGCUAAUACCGGAUAAUAUUUUGAACCGCAUGGUUCAAAAGUAAAAGACGGUCUUGCUGUCACUUAUAGAUGGAUCCGCGCUGCAUUAGCUAGUUGGUAAGGUAACGGCUUACCAAGGCAACGAUGCAUAGCCGACCUGAGAGGGUGAUCGGCCACACUGGAACUGAGACACGGUCCAGACUCCUACGGGAGGCAGCAGUAGGGAAUCUUCCGCAAUGGGCGAAAGCCUGACGGAGCAACGCCGCGUGAGUGAUGAAGGUCUUCGGAUCGUAAAACUCUGUUAUUAGGGAAGAAUAUAUGUGUAAGUAACUGUGCACAUCUUGACGGUACCUAAUCAGAAAGCCACGGCUAACUACGUGCCAGCAGCCGCGGUAAUACGUAGGUGGCAAGCGUUAUCCGGAAUUAUUGGGCGUAAAGCGCGCGUAGGCGGUUUUUUAAGUCUGAUGUGAAAGCCCACGGCUCAACCGUGGAGGGUCAUUGGAAACUGGAAAACUUGAGUGCAGAAGAGGAAAGUGGAAUUCCAUGUGUAGCGGUGAAAUGCGCAGAGAUAUGGAGGAACACCAGUGGCGAAGGCGACUUUCUGGUCUGUAACUGACGCUGAUGUGCGAAAGCGUGGGGAUCAAACAGGAUUAGAUACCCUGGUAGUCCACGCCGUAAACGAUGAGUGCUAAGUGUUAGGGGGUUUCCGCCCCUUAGUGCUGCAGCUAACGCAUUAAGCACCCCGCCUGGGGAGUACGACCGCAAGGUUGAAACUCAAAGGAAUUGACGGGGACCCGCACAGGCGGUGGAGCAUGUGGUUUAAUUCGAAGCAACGCGAAGAACCUUACCAAAUCUUGACAUCCUUUGACAACUCUAGAGAUAGAGCCUUCCCCUUCGGGGGACAAAGUGACAGGUGGUGCAUGGUUGUCGUCAGCUCGUGUCGUGAGAUGUUGGGUUAAGUCCCGCAACGAGCGCAACCCUUAAGCUUAGUUGCCAUCAUUAAGUUGGGCACUCUAAGUUGACUGCCGGUGACAAACCGGAGGAAGGUGGGGAUGACGUCAAAUCAUCAUGCCCCUUAUGAUUUGGGCUACACACGUGCUACAAUGGACAAUACAAAGGGCAGCGAAACCGCGAGGUCAAGCAAAUCCCAUAAAGUUGUUCUCAGUUCGGAUUGUAGUCUGCAACUCGACUACAUGAAGCUGGAAUCGCUAGUAAUCGUAGAUCAGCAUGCUACGGUGAAUACGUUCCCGGGUCU
Molecule: ribosomal RNA, 1372 nt
Filed under: uncultured bacterium
Lineage: Bacteria
Description: bacterial SSU rRNA
Rfam family: Bacterial small subunit ribosomal RNA
Source: RNAcentral